RNAcentral lists this ribosomal RNA (253 nucleotides) under uncultured bacterium. RNAcentral describes it as "partial 16S ribosomal RNA". It matches the Rfam family "Bacterial small subunit ribosomal RNA", at positions 524 to 776 of the family's 1533-position model. The record is from RNAcentral.
GACAGAGGGGGCAAGCGUUGCUCGGAAUCACUGGGCGUAAAGGGCGCGUAGGCGGGAAGCCAAGUCGGUCGUGAAAUCUCCGGGCUCAACCCGGAGGAGUCGGCCGAAACUGGUUUUCUUGAGGGAGGCAGAGGAGUCUGGAAUUCCCGGUGUAGCGGUGAAAUGUGUAGAGAUCGGGAGGAACACCGGUGGCGAAGGCGGGACUCUGGGCCUACCCUGACGCUGAGGCGCGAAGGCGUGGGGAGCAAACAGG